RNAcentral lists this ribosomal RNA (253 nucleotides) under uncultured bacterium. RNAcentral's name for it is "partial 16S ribosomal RNA". It matches the Rfam family "Bacterial small subunit ribosomal RNA", at positions 524 to 776 of the family's 1533-position model. The record is from RNAcentral.
UACGGAGGGUGCAAGCGUUGUUCGGAAUCACUGGGCGUAAAGCGCGUGUAGGCGGCCGCGUAAGUCUGAUGUGAAAGCCCGGGGCUCACCCCCGGAAGUGCAUUGGAAACUGCGUGGCUAGAGUACCGGAGAGGAGGGUGGAAUUCCUGGUGUAGCGGUGAAAUGCGUAGAUAUCAGGAGGAACACCGGUGGCGAAGGCGGCCCUCUGGACGGAUACUGACGCUGAGACGCGAAAGCGUGGGGAGCAAACAGG